CAGCAGCCGCGGUAAUACGUAGGUGGCGAGCGUUGUCCGGAAUUACUGGGUGUAAAGGGCGUGUAGGCGGGAUGUCAAGUCAGAUGUGAAAUACCGAGGCUUAACUUCGGGGGUGCAUCUGAAACUGAUAUUCUUGAGUGUCGGAGAGGAAAGUGGAAUUCCCAGUGUAGCGGUGAAAUGCGUAGAGAUUGGGAGGAACACCAGUGGCGAAGGCGGCUUUCUGGACGAUAACUGACGCUGAGGCGCGAAAGCGUGGGUAGCAAACAGGAUUAGAUACCCUGGUAGUCCACGCUGUAAACGAUGGAUACUAGGUGUAGGAGGUAUCGACCCCUUCUGUGCCGGAGUUAACACAAUAAGUAUCCCACCUGGGGAGUACGGCCGCAAGGCUGAAACUCAAAGGAAUUGACGGGGGCCCGCACAAGCAGUGGAGUAUGUGGUUUAAUUCGAAGCAACGCGAAGAACCUUACCAGGGCUUGACAUCCCUCUGACUGGCUUAGAGAUAAGCCUUUUCUUCGGAACAGAGGUGACAGGAGGUGCAUGGCC
RNAcentral lists this ribosomal RNA (543 nucleotides) under uncultured archaeon. RNAcentral describes it as "bacterial SSU rRNA". It matches the Rfam family "Bacterial small subunit ribosomal RNA", at positions 509 to 1050 of the family's 1533-position model. The record is from RNAcentral.